CGAAAAGAUUAUUGUAUUUGACUAUAUUCACAGCGUAAAAUAGGGGAUUGCAUUCUUUUUAAACGGAAAGUGAAUCAAUUAACAUAAUAGACUCCU
This 96-nucleotide microRNA precursor is filed under the name Nicotiana attenuata. RNAcentral describes it as "MIR6152 microRNA precursor family". It matches the Rfam family "MIR6152 microRNA precursor family". The record is from Rfam by way of RNAcentral. Lineage: Eukaryota; Viridiplantae; Streptophyta; Magnoliopsida; Solanales; Solanaceae.